Molecule: ribosomal RNA, 465 nt
Filed under: uncultured bacterium
Lineage: Bacteria
Description: partial 16S ribosomal RNA
Rfam family: Bacterial small subunit ribosomal RNA
Source: RNAcentral
GACGAACGCUGGCGGCGUGCUUAACACAUGCAAGUCGAACGGAAAGGCCCCCUUGUGGGGUACUCGAGUGGCGAACGGGUGAGUAACACGUGAGUAACCUACCCUUGACUUUGGGAUAACUUCAGGAAACUGGGGCUAAUACCGGAUAGGAGCUCCUGCUGCAUGGUGGGGGUUGGAAAGUUUCGGCGGUUGGGGAUGGACUCGCGGCUUAUCAGCUUGUUGGUGGGGUAGUGGCUCACCAAGGCUUUGACGGGUAGCCGGCCUGAGCGGGUGACCGGCCACAUUGGGACUGAGAUACGGCCCAGACUCCUACGGGAGGCAGCAGUGGGGAAUAUUGCACAAUGGGCGGAAGCCUGAUGCAGCAACGCCGCGUGCGGGAUGACGGCCUUCGGGUUGUAAACCGCUUUCGCCUGUGACGAAGCGUGAGUGACGGUAAUGGGUAAAGAAGCACCGGCUAACUACGUG